GCCUACUCAAUGUGAAGAUGAGGAUGAAGAUUUUGUGAUGACCCACCUUUUUUAAAUAAAUGAAACUACCUGGACCUUACUAAAGAGACUGCCUCCAAAGAAUCUAGGCCACAUUUUUGGGGUUUGGAGGAUGCUUCGUCCCUCAAGUAGAGAAGAAGUGAUCCCAGAAGUGUUUCUUCCACCUAAGACAACACUGGAGGAUUUAUUGAGAUAUUGCUGGCAGACCUCCCUGUUCACAGAUCUUGGUUUUGCUGUGUUCACAAAUCCCUAAGAAGUUUACCUUGGAAUAUGAGGGGAGCCCCCAGAGACCACUGCUUUUAUUUUUGGCUUAGCCCGAGCCUCUCAAAUACAGAAGCACCUUUCUGUCAGAUCGUCAGGUCACCUCUGCAUGGACCAGCCUUCAUUCCUGAACGGGCCUUUAGACAUCUGACUCACAGCAGAAAAAGAUCACUUUGACUUUCUAUUUACAUUUCAUUUGGCAGAAAGCAGCAAACUACACUUUGAAGGUGUUGAACAUCCUCCAAUCAUUUUUACUGGAAUGGGAGGGAUGCAUCCAGUGCCAUAACUCAAUUCCAGUUGUGUUAUCACCUCCAAUCAAAUGAAAAUGUCCUUGAAGCUGAGGAUAUGCAUUCCUGAACAUGCUUACACUCAACAUAUGGCUCCAUGAGGCCAAACUUCAAGAUGAAAGCAAAGGAAAUCAGACAGUUGCCAAGAAAUUUCAUAAUAUUAGCAAUAGAUCUGGACGAGUGACUGAAUUUUUCACUUUUCGUCCACCUUUGUGUAUAACUACCCAAAGUGUUGAAAUUUCUUGGUGGGUACUCUGACUUGGCAAUAACAAGCAUAAUAAGAUUCCUAAGAUCAUGGCUUGCAGUACUGUGAACACUAUUAACAUAUAUGCAUUUUUAAACAUUCCUGCUCAGGUGCCCUGGAGCAUACUCCAGUACCAUCACUUGCUUUCCAUGCAAGCUCUGAUCAUGGAUUAUAGGUUCCUGUCAGUCUUAGCACUGAGCCUGACAUAUGGUUGGCACUCAAUAUGGGUCUGGUGAAUAAAAUGAAACAACUCAAUGCAGUGGCAACUUAACCACAAUAGCUGCUGCAAUCAGAAUAAAUGUUUCAAAAGCUAAGCCAAGAAAGGUGUUUUGUUUUUUUUUUUUAAAUGCAGCUCUGAGAAAAAGCAGCUAAUACAAACAUGAAAAAUAAGAUAUGAGGCCAAUAAAUCAGCAAUGGGCUACCUUCACUUACUUGGUUAAUAUCUCAUUGAACUUGGGCUUCAUUUGGAGGAGAGUAGUAUAACCCCCAGAAACACAAAUAUUCACAGAGCAAUUAAGAACAGUUCAAAGACCAACAUUAAUUAAAAAGACAUUUCUUUACAAUUUCCCAUAAAGAACAUUAAAGGGGAGUCCACUCCUCAGUCCACAGCGAUGUUGACAUCUUUCCCUCUUCUCCAUUUCCUUCACAUAUCCCAGCAGUCAGAUCCUCUCUGUUAUCUCCUUACCCCCAACUCCCAAAACAAUACUUUUCUUCCUCUCCUACCCUACAGGGCUUUCUUCCCUCCUUUCCUUCCUCCACAGGAUUUCUCUUAGCCCUUUAUUAUGUAGAUAAACUUAGCUUCUCUUCACUAUAAAUUAUCUAUUCCCUUCAGGAAGGGUGUAGACGAGGAAUUGGUUAGAAAUUGCGGAAUGAUCUUUGGGAUGCUAGAAGAAUGGCCAAGUCCAUUCACAUUUCCAGAUUAAUCAUUUUUGUCCCAGUGCAGUAAUAUUUUUAUUCAGCCACUCAACAAGAAUCAGACUUUGAUAUGUAAAGAAAAUAAGAUCCCAUAAUGUGUGCAGCAUUCAUAAACACAAUUACUUUUAUAACCAUCACAGACAUUUCGAGGCACAGUAAAACUCACUCUUACAGAUGACUUAUCUGGUAUAGUAUGGUGACCAGGCAGAUACAUAGGACCAUAAACUUUUUACUAUGCAGAAUUGGUAAAAGGUAUGUUGCGGAACAUAGCAUCCUUGAACUGAACAUUUUCAGACUAAAGUAUGUCAUGCUUUAGACAGCAGCAUGUAACUAGUGGAGGGUGGAUAAACAGCCUAGCUUUAUGACAACUGGAAGUACUCAGGCAGUAGUACUCAGGCAGAUGCUCAAAACUAAGCUAGGUAUUUCACAUUGAUUCUCUGGUAGCAGCACACAUUGAAGGACCAUUUCUAAGGAAGGCUCUCAAGGGAACUUUUACAUCACUUAGUGGCAUUGGUUUGACGUAUCACUUCUUUCUAAGGUCUUUUCCAGCUCUGAUUAAACAAUUUCACAAAAUUAUAUCAACUAUAAGUGGCAGAAAUAUAUUGCUUAUUAAGUACAUAUGAUGUCUAGGAAUUGAUUGGUUAUUGUCCAUAUUGUGAAAACCUGAUUAAUUCCAGAAAGAUAAAAUAAUAUAAUAAAGAUAAGCACAUGAAAACCAGAACAUUACAUAUUCUGAUUGGUAUUUCAAAUAUUGUUGAUUGUAUUUGAAGAGUUACGUGGCUUUAAAAAACAGUAGCAUAUACGGGAGUUUAGCUGGAGUAAUAUUUUCAGUACAGUCUCUUCCUGCCUCUUCUGAUGCUGCCUUCUUUUAUAAAACAAAUUUUAAAAAAAUUAAAAAUAGAGACAGGCAGGGUUUUGCUAUGUUGCCCAGGCUGGUUACGAACUGCUGGGCUCAAGUGAUCUUCCCAUUUGGGCCUCCCAAAGUGCUGGGAUUAUAGGUGUGAGCCACCAUGCAUGGCUUUUUAAUGCCUCCUUAACCACGUUCCCCAUCCCCCAUCACGGCCAUCCUAUCUCUGUAGAAAUGGUUUCCAUCUAACAUAUAUUUACUUUCAAGUUGCAAGUGCAUCCUCAUGAACACCAGAAACCUCUCGGCCUUACUUUUUAAUUCUAGCCACUGCUGCAGUGGGUGGUCUGUGCCCUGCAGGCUUUGCUCACAACAGCACAGCUAGAACAGGUCAGCAGCACACCCCCUUCCUCUCCUUCCGCCCGCACUUUUUCUCUGGCCCAGUCAGAUACCUCUUGCUUCCUCUCUUGGGCUUUUCCAUUCCACAGAACUGUUGGACACUCACUCACACAUUUACUUCUAGAAACAUGAGGGCUAUAAUACCCAAGAGGCCAUCUUCUGGCACUGGGAGGUGGGAGCCAUUGUAGACAAGCUUUACUGUUUGCCCGCAGGUGACCAGAAGGCCCCAGUAGAAUAAAUCACAGUAUCCUGUAGCAGAGGCCAACUCUACAACAUAAUUUUGAACAAGUUUUCGCUCCUUUCAUGUUUUACUCUCCUGCCACCUGCCACGUACUCCUGUUCUGAAAGAUCAUAUUCCCAAAUAAACUAUGGGCACACGAGCGUGUCUCAAUAUUUGGGGAUGCACAGGCCAAAACAUGCAUAUGUCAUACUGUUGGGAAUCUUCUUAUCACUUUGUAAGAAAGAGUUACAUAAAAAUUGUUCCUAUGCUACUUUGUUUUUUGAUUACUAAAAACUUAGGCCUUGGAGAGGGAACCUACAAUUCAUACUAUCCAAUAGGUAGCCACUAGGUACAUGAGCACCUGAAAUACAGCUAGUAUGAAUUGAGAUAUACUGUAAGUACAAAGUAUAUACCAACUUUCAAGACAAUACAAAAAAAGUGAUAAUUUUUAUAUAGGUUUCAUGUUGAAAUAAUAUUUUUCAUAUAUUGGGUUAAAUAAAAUAUAUUAUUAAAAUGAAUUUUGCCAUUUUUAACACUUAAAAUGUGGCUAUUAGACAAUUUAGUAUUACAUGGGUGGCUCACAUUAUAUCCUUAUUGGCUGCUUCUACUGCAGUUGAAAAGGGACUUCAGAGACAUAUCAGUCAACUGCCAAGCACUUACUUAAAGCUAAUUGGAAUAAAAAUCAUGUAAAAAUUAUAAGACAAUGUGGAAAAUUUGAAAACUGCCUGGAUAUUUGAUGUGAGGAAUUACUGUUAACUCAUUUUUUAAGUGUGAUAAUGGUCUCAGGGUUUUUUUUUUAAAGAUUUAUUAUCUUUUAGAGAUAUACACCAAAAUAUUUAAGAAUGAAAUGAUGUAAUGUUAUAGUUUGCUCCAAAAGAAAGUAGGUAGGCAUAUAAAUGAAAUAAAUGUGGCUUUUGGUUGAUAAUUGGUGAAGUUAGAUAAUGGUAUUGGGAGUUUAUUAUCUUAUUGUCUCUACCUUUGUAUGCAUUUGAAAUUUUCUACAAGAAGAAAUGUUUUAUUAAAAUAAAUAAACUUUUGUCAAUGGCUAGUGAUAAAAAGACACUGACCUAUGGGCUGUGUAUACAAUUUUAUAUAUAUAUAUAUAUAUACACAUAGAUACUGAUAUAUAUAUCACUAUAUACUCUACUUCCCAGAAUUCAUUACUUAGCAAGAGGAUGGUACUUGCAAUUGUAUUAUGGUAGGUGUGCACA
This 4399-nucleotide long non-coding RNA is filed under the name Homo sapiens (human). RNAcentral's name for it is "HSALNT0088958". Lineage: Eukaryota; Metazoa; Chordata; Mammalia; Primates; Hominidae. The record is from RNAcentral.